This 633-nucleotide ribosomal RNA is filed under the name uncultured bacterium. RNAcentral describes it as "bacterial SSU rRNA". It matches the Rfam family "Bacterial small subunit ribosomal RNA", at positions 881 to 1528 of the family's 1533-position model. The record is from RNAcentral.
UACGGUCGCAAGGCUAAAACUCAAAGGAAUUGACGGGGGCCCGCACAAGCAGCGGAGCGUGUGGUUUAAUUCGAGGAUACGCGAAGAACCUUACCUGGGUUUGACAUCAUAAUGGUAGGAUUUAGAGAUAGAUCUGACCCUUCGGGGAGUUAUGACAGGUGCUGCAUGGUUGUCGUCAGCUAGUGCCGUGAGGUGUUCGGUUAAGUCCGCAUACGAGCGCAACCCUCGGCGUUAGUUACAAGUGUCUAGGGCAGCUGCCCGUGGCAAACGGGGGGAAGGUGGGGAUGACGUCAAAUCAGCAUGGCCUUUAUAUCCAGGGCUACACACACGCUACAAUGGCACAUACAAUGGGUAGCGAAGCCGUGAGGUGGAGCCAAUCUCGAAAGUGUGUCUCAGUUCGGAUUACAGGCUGCAACUUGCCUGUAUGAAGUCGGAGUUGCUAGUAACCGUGUAUCAGCACGGCACGGUGAAUACGUUCCCGGGCCUUGUACACACCGCCCGUCACGUUAUGGGAGCUGGUUACGCCUGAAGUCGGGAAGCCAACCGCAAGGAGGCUACUGCCGAAGGCAGAACUGGUAACUGGGACGAAGUCGUAACAAGGUAGCUGUAGCGGAAGCUGCGGCUGGAUCACCU